CUUGAUGAAGUCCAGCAAGCCUUCCCUGAUGUUCCCAGGGAAAUCUGGCAGACUGGAACCACCUACGAAAACAUCAAUGAAGGAGAUCUAGAAAUAGAGGAGUUGUGACCUCCACCCUCCGCCGUUGAUCCACCGAUGUUCCAGGAUGGAUGAAGUUCUACUCCAUCUAAGGAAAUGGCCCUUUGUUUCUUCUUUCUAUAAAUUUUAUAAGUUAUAUAAAAUAGUUGAAUUUCAUCUGUUAUAAUUUCUGACUGCAUAGUAACUGUUGGCAUCUGUGUUUCUAGAUCACUGGAAGACCAGAACUCCCUACUGCUGAAGUUUCCCUUGUGGUUUGGAAGAUGGCACUGGGGCUGAAUAUGUUCUGGAACAGACGCCGACCAUAAUCGUUUUUAAUAUGCUGCAGCAGGCUGUGUAGCAGUUUGGAAUUCCAUACGGUGGCUGUAACUGACCUGCUUGCUUGGACCAUCACCCGUCUGGAUCAACAUCUCCCCAGGACAGAAGAACAACGAAACACAGAUGGAUGGACUUGAGUUUUUAAUGGCAGUGUUUUUUCUCCUAUCGAUGGGACAUUUAUAUGUCUCCAGCUAUAUGCCGCCAUUGAAGGCAAACACAAGGUAAAGAAGUUUAGUCAAGGGUGCUACCUUCAGACUUUCAAGAUUCCUUUAAUGUAGCCUUGCAAUAAGGUCGAAUUAGCACAUUUAGUCAUAUUUCCUCUCUCGUUUCCCUUGGAGGCCUGACAAAUAUCUGCAGGUUGUUUGAACUGUGUGUGUGUGUGUGUGUGUGUGUGUGUGUGUG
Molecule: long non-coding RNA, 795 nt
Organism: Ahaetulla prasina
Lineage: Eukaryota; Metazoa; Chordata; Lepidosauria; Squamata; Colubridae
Exons: 3
Source: RefSeq, a predicted model, not a curated record